GACGGAGGAUGCAAGCGUUAUCCGGAAUGAUUGGGCGUAAAGCGUCCGCAGGUGGCAGUUCAAGUCUGCUGUCAAAGACUGGGGCUUAACUCCGGACAGGCAGUGGAAACUGAACAGCUAGAGUAUGGUAGGGGCAGAGGGAAUUCCCAGUGUAGCGGUGAAAUGCGUAGAGAUUGGGAAGAACAUCGGUGGCGAAAGCGCUCUGCUGGACCAAAACUGACACUCAGGGACGAAAGCUAGGGGAGCGAAUGGGAUUAGAUACCCCAGUAGUCCUAGCCGUAAACGAUGGAUACUAGGUGUUGUCUGUAUCGACCCGGACAGUGCCGUAGCUAACGCGUUAAGUAUCCCGCCUGGGGAGUACGCACGCAAGUGUGAA
RNAcentral lists this ribosomal RNA (376 nucleotides) under uncultured bacterium. RNAcentral's name for it is "bacterial SSU rRNA". It matches the Rfam family "Bacterial small subunit ribosomal RNA", at positions 524 to 898 of the family's 1533-position model. The record is from RNAcentral.